UACGAAGGGGGCUAGCGUUGCUCGGAAUGACUGGGCGUAAAGGGCGCGUAGGCGGUUUGUACAGUCAGAUGUGAAAUUCCUGGGCUUAACCUGGGGGCUGCAUUUGAUACGUGCAGACUUGAGUGAGGAAGAGGGUCGUGGAAUUCCCAGUGUAGAGGUGAAAUUCGUAGAUAUUGGGAAGAACACCGGUGGCGAAGGCGGCGACCUGGUCCUUGACUGACGCUGAGGCGCGAAAGCGUGGGGAG
Molecule: ribosomal RNA, 245 nt
Filed under: uncultured bacterium
Lineage: Bacteria
Description: partial 16S ribosomal RNA
Rfam family: Bacterial small subunit ribosomal RNA
Source: RNAcentral